This 479-nucleotide ribosomal RNA is filed under the name uncultured Bacteroidales bacterium. RNAcentral describes it as "bacterial SSU rRNA". It matches the Rfam family "Bacterial small subunit ribosomal RNA", at positions 47 to 514 of the family's 1533-position model. The record is from RNAcentral. Lineage: Bacteria; Pseudomonadati; Bacteroidota; Bacteroidia; Bacteroidales.
CUUAACACAUGCAAGUCGAGGGGAAACGACGGGGAAGCUUGCUUCCCCGGGCGUCGACCGGCGCACGGGUGAGUAACGCGUAUCCAACCUGCCUCUGACUGAGGGAUAACCCGUCGAAAGUCGGCCUAAUACCUCAUGGCAUCGUCUGCGGGCAUCCAACGACGAUUAAAGAUUUCAUCGGUCAGGGAUGGGGAUGCGUCUGAUUAGCUGGUUGGCGGGGUAACGGCCCACCAAGGCUACGAUCAGUAGGGGUUCUGAGAGGAAGGUCCCCCACAUUGGAACUGAGACACGGUCCAAACUCCUACGGGAGGCAGCAGUGAGGAAUAUUGGUCAAUGGGCGAGAGCCUGAACCAGCCAAGUAGCGUGCAGGAUGACGGCCCUAUGGGUUGUAAACUGCUUUUAUGCGGGGAUAAAGUGCAGGACGUGUCCUUCAUUGCAGGUACCGCAUGAAUAAGGACCGGCUAAUUCCGUGCCAGCAG